GACGAACGCUGGCGGCGUGCUUAACACAUGCAAGUCGAACGGAAAGGCCCUGCUUUUGUGGGGUGCUCGAUUGGCGAACGGGUGAGUAACACGUGAGUAACCUGCCCUUGACUUUGGGAUAACUUCAGGAAACUGGGGCGAAUACCGGAUAGGAGCUCUUGCUGCAUGGUGGGGGUUGGAAAGUUUCGGCGGUUGGGGAUGGACUCGCGGCUUAUCAGCUUGUUGGUGGGGUAGUGGCUUACCAAGGUUUUGACGGGUAGCCGGCCUGAGAGGGUGACCGGCCACACUGGGACUGAGAUACGGCACAGACUGCUACGGGAGGCAGCAGUGGGGAAUAUUGCACGAUGGGCGGAAGCCUGAUGCAGCAACGCCGCGUGCGGGAUGACGGCCUUCGGGUUGUAAACCGCUUUCGCCUGUGACGAAGCGUGAGUGACGGUAAUGGGUAAAGAAGCACCGGCUAACUACGUG
Molecule: ribosomal RNA, 468 nt
Filed under: uncultured bacterium
Lineage: Bacteria
Description: partial 16S ribosomal RNA
Rfam family: Bacterial small subunit ribosomal RNA
Source: RNAcentral